CCUACGGGGGGCAGCAGUAGGGAAUAUUGCGCAAUGGGCGAAAGCCUGACGCAGCAACGCCGCGUGAGUGAUGAAGGAUUUCGGUUCGUAAAGCUCUGUUGCAGGGGAAUAAGAAAGUGAAGGUACUCUGUGAGGAAGGGACGGCCAACUUCGUGCCAGCAGCCGCGGUAAUACGAAGGUCCCUAGCGUUGUUCGGAAUCAUUGGGCGUAAAGCGUGCGUAGGUGGCUUUAUAAGUCAGGUGUGAAAGCCCGGGGCUCAACCCCGGAAGUGCACUUGAAACUGCAAAGCUUGAGUACGGAAGAGGUGAGUGGAAUUCCUGGUGUAGUGGUGAAAUACGUAGAUAUCAGGAGGAACAUCGGUGGCGAAGGCGGCUCACUGGUCCAGUACUGACACUGAGGCACGAAAGCAUGGGGAUCAAACAGGAUUAGAUACCCCAGUAGUC
This 443-nucleotide ribosomal RNA is filed under the name uncultured bacterium. Its description in RNAcentral is "partial 16S ribosomal RNA". It matches the Rfam family "Bacterial small subunit ribosomal RNA", at positions 338 to 795 of the family's 1533-position model. The record is from RNAcentral.